CGUAGGCAGCGAGCGUUGUUCGGAGUUACUGGGCGUAAAGCGUGCGUAGGCGGUGUCUUAAGUUUGUUGUGAAAUCUCCCGGCUUAACCGGGAGGGUGCGGCGAAUACUGAGAUGCUGGAGUGCGGGAGAGGUAAGCGGAAUUCCUGGUGUAGCGGUGAAAUGCGUAGAUAUCAGGAGGAACACCUGCGGUGUAGACGGCUUACUGGACCGUAACUGACGCUGAGGCACGAAAGCGUGGGUAGCAAACAGG
This 251-nucleotide ribosomal RNA is filed under the name uncultured bacterium. RNAcentral describes it as "partial 16S ribosomal RNA". It matches the Rfam family "Bacterial small subunit ribosomal RNA", at positions 526 to 776 of the family's 1533-position model. The record is from RNAcentral.